Molecule: long non-coding RNA, 626 nt
Filed under: Fukomys damarensis (Damara mole-rat)
Lineage: Eukaryota; Metazoa; Chordata; Mammalia; Rodentia; Bathyergidae
Description: lncRNA (ENSFDAG00000028609.1)
Source: RNAcentral
UACACUUUAAAAAGAAAAAACCCAGAAAACAGUAUUUCUGUUUCAUCCCUCCAGACUCCUGCAUCUAUCACCCGUAAAUCAUUAGCAACCUUAUGAAAUGCUGCAGAGAUGGCUUCUGUGGUAGAGAGAUGAGUAUAAAAAGAAAAGCUGCCAACAAUCACACAGCCACUGAGGAGGCCGGUUUGCUGUUGCAGCACUACCCUGAUCCACCACUAGGGGCACAUGCUGGAGUGACGCUGCAGGAGGCGGUCCCCAAACCCUGACCGGAGAGACCUUAGUGGACAGGUUUCCGGCGCUCAUGAGCCGCAAGGACCAGUUCCCCGUGCGGGACAAACAAAAAUAGCAUCAAAAAUAAAUCUUAGCAACUCUUACGUGCUUUUUUUCAGGAUUUAAAAAAAAACUACAAGAACUUUUGCGUUUGAUAUUCUCAGGUCAAAUCAGUAAACUGGCUCCAAAAGUGGACAGUUUCGUUCAUAGCGAGAAGUCACAGAUUCUUUCAAUGUAGGCUGUUAUUUUUAAAGAAUUUGCUAAAGAAUCGUACAUUUGGUUGUUUCCAGAUGUGAAAAUUAGCAAAAAAGGGACAAUCUGCUUAUAAAGCUAAAACGAAGUCAACCUCCCCCAGCCAU